This is a long non-coding RNA of Passer domesticus (house sparrow), 1296 nucleotides long. RefSeq lists it as uncharacterized. The record is from RefSeq and is a predicted model, not a curated record. Lineage: Eukaryota; Metazoa; Chordata; Aves; Passeriformes; Passeridae. The transcript has 3 exons.
UAAUUUUGUUUUGCUCUGUUCCAGACCCUGGGAUGACCUGUUUGCAGCUGGCAGAGCUCUGAGGCCCUGGGUCAGAUUUGGUGUCAUGAAGCUGCUGACUGCCAGGCCAGUUCUCCAGCUCAAGCCAUCCACUGUUUGGAAAGCAAUUCCUUUCCAAAUCAGAUGGGCACCUAAAACAACCUGCAGGAGACUGAGGGGACACCUCAGUGCACUCUACAACCUCCUCAUGAGAGGAAGAGGAGGAGCAGACACCGAUCCCCCCUCUGGGGUGACCAGUGACAGGACCCGAGGGAGCAGCUGCAGCUGGAUCAGGGGAGGGUGAGGUUGGAAAUCAAAAAAAGGCUUUUCUCCCAGAGGGUGGUUGGGCACUGGAACAGGUUCCCUGGCAGAGUUCAAAAAGCAUUUGGACACUCCUGGGCACAGGGUGGGACUCCUGGGGAUGAUCCUGUGCAGGGCCAGCAGCUGGGCUCCAUGUGUGGCCCCUUCCAAGUCAGCUUACACUGUGAUUCCGUGACUCCAAGCAGGGGUUGGAACCUUGUUUGAACUUCACCUGCAAAUCUAUUUCCUGCAGCUUCUUUCAACCCAGAAAAAGACAAAUGUUGUAUUUCUGGAAUUCUGAACCAUCAAAACUGUCAAAGAAAUUGAGCUAUAAACUGAAAAUACUGCAAAUGUAGAUUUUCAGCCUUUACAGCUCAGGCACUGAACUAGCAGUGGGUACAGGAGGAGAGGAGCUGAUGCCAACCCAGCACCUGCAGCUGUGAGCAGCUCUGUGAUGUGCUCAGCCAGAGGGAACCCUGAACAUCCCUCCUUCCAUUCCCACGACAAUAUUGGAAAACUAAGACCCUGAAGUCCCCUAGUCCAAAAACCCUGCAGUGCACUUCCAGAUGGGAAGAAGAAAGCUCAAGCACAUCACCAAUGUCCUCCACGCCUUCGAUAGCCACAAUUUUACCAGCAAAAGCUUCCCAGAAAAAGUGGGAGAGAACUGCCCCAGCAUUAGACAGGAAAGGAAAGGAAUCCUGCUACAUCCUGACAAUAUGACCUGGGAAAAAAUUCCAGCAGUUGUUUGAAACUGGAUGUUUUGAGCAGAAAACACCAAUACAGGACCCGAGACAUUCUUCAGACCACUGAGCACACUGGCACCAUCCCUACUGAUCCUGCAGCCAAGCCCGUGGUGCUUCAAGGAAAGAAAAACUCCAGAAGGUAAAUUAGGCAGCAAGGGGGGAAAUCUACUUCUCCCCAUCACCGAGCCCUUAGGCCUUGGGAAAGUCAUUAUAAAUAAAGUGCAAAGAAACCAUA